UGGGGAAUCUUGCACAAUGGGGGCAACCCUGAUGCAGCGACGCCGCGUGAGCGAUGAAGCCCUUCGGGGCGUAAAGCUCUUUCGACCGGAACGAUAAUGACGGUACCGGGAGAAGAAGCUGCGGCUAACUACGUGCCAGCAGCCGCGGUAAUACGUAGGCAGCAAGCGUUGUUCGGAGUUACUGGGCGUAAAGAGUGCGUAGGCGGUUUUCUAAGUUCGGUGUGAAAUCUCCCGGCUUAACUGGGAGGGUGCGCCGAAGACUGGGAAGCUGGAGUGUGGGAAAGGCAGGCGGAAUUCCUGGUGUAGCAGUGAAAUGCGUAGAUAUCAGGAGGAACACCGGCGGUGUAGACGGCUUGCUAGACCAUAACUGACGCUGAGGCACGAAAGCGUGGGUAGCAAACA
This 402-nucleotide ribosomal RNA is filed under the name uncultured bacterium. RNAcentral's name for it is "bacterial SSU rRNA". It matches the Rfam family "Bacterial small subunit ribosomal RNA", at positions 355 to 774 of the family's 1533-position model. The record is from RNAcentral.